RNAcentral lists this long non-coding RNA (620 nucleotides) under Naja naja (Indian cobra). RNAcentral describes it as "lncRNA (ENSNNAG00000012502.1)". Lineage: Eukaryota; Metazoa; Chordata; Lepidosauria; Squamata; Elapidae. The record is from RNAcentral.
UCUCGCCCCUCCCCCUUUCCCCCUCCCCGCGGGCCGCCCCCCGCCUCCGGGGACGGCGGGCGGGGCCCCCUCGGCCAAGACGAAGGUGAUCUACCACCUGGACGAGGAGGAGACGCCCUACCUGGUCAAGAUCGCCGUGCCGGCCGAGCGCCUCACCCUCGGCCACGUCAAGGCGGCCCUGGCCCGGCCCGGCGCCAAGUACUUCUUCAAGAGCAUGGACCAGGACUUCGGCUGGUGUCUUCAGAGGUCCACCCACCCGAGCCGCCACUGCCCCCUUCUCCUGCUCCCAGAGGUCUGGAGCCUUCUCCCCCACCUCCUCUUCCUCCAUUGCCCGUAGAAAGGACCAGCGCAAUCUGCGACUCCCGCCCUCCUUUCUUCCACCCAAACCUCUCGGGCAGCUGCGAGAACUUGGACCACGAAACCGAGACGGAGUCCGUCGUGUUGCUGCGGAGAGAGUGGCCAUGGUGCCGGGAGAGCAGAGAGCACGGAGGUAAACCACCCCUCCCCGAAAGCUUCCGGGCCCUUUCCUUGGCGGGAGCGGCAGGUGGGGAGGCCCAAUCCUGGUGGGGGCAGAUUUUAUAUAACUUACACAUUGCUGACAACUCUAGACAGCUUACAAC